GUAAGUCGAAUUGGGGAAGUCAGUUAGGAGAAAAUAGUUAAAUCGAAGAUAAUCAUGAGAAACGAGAGAAAAACAAGAGCGCGUCAGGAGGGGAAAAAAUGCUCAAAUCGUCAGCGUCGUGCUCGGGUCGGCACCGUCACAGCUGUCGGGCUUCUGAUUGACAUGACGCUGCCUUGCGGAGAUAAAUUACGGGGAAUUCCCAGCAAACCACAAUAAGGGAAUUAGUUUUGGAGGUAUAAAUACAUAAUGAAGUUUGGGCAACAGAAUCACAAUACGAGAGGUUAAGUACACGGCGAAGAGAUUUGGGGUAACGUAGCUUGUGGAAGAAUAGUGAAAAUAUUCAAUAACACUGGAAAUGAAUGAUAUGAACAAAUAAGAAAAACAUCACAUUCAGCAAAAUUGUCAUCAAAUACAGGAUUGAUGACCAGUGAAUUAGACUACUGGAUGUUAUAAGCAUUGAGUAUUCACUCUGGAUUGAAGCACAACAUGAGACUUAUCACUAUCGAGAAGGUUCGUAUCGUCAGCGAAUAAUUUGGAAAAUAGAGUGGAGCUAUGUGCAAGAUCAUUAAUAUAAAUUAAGAACAGAGCCGGACCCAAGGACGAACCCUGGGGAACCCCAUGGGUCACAGAUUUGAAGAUUGGAAUUACUCUGGCAAUUUUCAGUGAAGAUGGAAAUAUCCCCAAUCGAAGUGAAUUAUUAAAAAACUCAGUUAUACAAGGUGCUAUGAUGUCUGCCACAUACUUAAGGAAACGACUGGGAAUGUUGUCAGCGCCAACCGCUUUACCCUCAUUGAGGCAUACUAUUUCCAUGGUCAGUUCGUUCACUGUUGCAGGACUUAAGAAUAUGGAUUGAUUUACACGCUUGCUUAGAAAUAUUUUAAAGCCAUCCAUAUCAUUGGAGAAUUUAGUACCAAGGUUGGACCCAACAGUGGAAAAAUAUUUAUUGAAUUCUUGUGCAAUCAAGGACUUAUCUUUAAUGGUUCUGCCAUUUUCCAAAUCAAUUUCAUUAACACUUUUGGUUUUUUUAUUUUUAGUAGAUGCUAUUUGAUUAACAAUUCGCCAAGUACACUUGGGGUUGCCUUUGUUUUGGGCAAUCAAUUUUUGAAAAUACAUUUGUUUAGCAUCUUCAA
Molecule: non-coding RNA, 1130 nt
Organism: Styela clava
Lineage: Eukaryota; Metazoa; Chordata; Ascidiacea; Stolidobranchia; Styelidae
Source: RefSeq, a predicted model, not a curated record